UCUGAAUAUAAAUUCCAAAACACAAAGAAGUUUCAGCGUGAAAGAUACCUUACUUACAUUAAGGACUCAACCUCAUAAACACCUAAUAAGGAUAUUCUAUUUUGCCAAGAGGAGAAAUUCAGAAGGACAGAAGAAUGGCAAGAAAAGUGGUGGCCGAUCUUGGGAAAAUGGGAGAAAAGCAAGAAGUAAGUCAGAAGGAACAUAUACAUGGAAAAAUAAAGCCCCUUCAGCUUUUUUAUGCUUACUGCUUUCAUGAUUUUCGUGAGUUGGACGUAAUACAACCACUGAUGAUGCUAUCACCACAGUCAAGGAAAGAAACAUAUCCAUCAUCUCCAAAAGAUUUCAAACAGAUCUUAAAGCAACAGAGAUAAGUGAUUAUCUGAUAGAAAGUUCAAAAUAACAGUUAUAAAGAUGCUCAGCAAGACUCGGAGAGCAAUGUAUGUAUGAAUGAAAUGAGAAUUUCAACAGGAGAAGAAAAUAUACAAAUGUCCUAAACAGACCUGAAGAAUUAAAACCAAAAUAAAAGUCCCUUGCUAUUAUUGUA
Suricata suricatta (meerkat) is the source of this 544-nucleotide long non-coding RNA. RefSeq lists it as uncharacterized. NCBI's taxonomy places the organism in Eukaryota, Metazoa, Chordata, Mammalia, Carnivora, Herpestidae. The transcript is spliced from 5 exons. The record is from RefSeq and is a predicted model, not a curated record.